RNAcentral lists this ribosomal RNA (497 nucleotides) under uncultured bacterium. Its description in RNAcentral is "partial 16S ribosomal RNA". It matches the Rfam family "Bacterial small subunit ribosomal RNA", at positions 28 to 507 of the family's 1533-position model. The record is from RNAcentral.
GAUGAACGCUGGCGGCGUGCCUAAUACAUGCAAGUCGAGCGAACAGACGAGGAGCUUGCUCCUCUGACGUUAGCGGCGGACGGGUGAGUAACACGUGGAUAACCUACCUAUAAGACUGGGAUAACUUCGGGAAACCGGAGCUAAUACCGGAUAACAUGUUGAACCGCAUGGUUCAACAGUGAAAGACGGUCUUGCUGUCACUUAUAGAUGGAUCCGCGCCGCAUUAGCUAGUUGGUAAGGUAACGGCUUACCAAGGCAACGAUGCGUAGCCGACCUGAGAGGGUGAUCGGCCACACUGGAACUGAGACACGGUCCAGACUCCUACGGGAGGCAGCAGUAGGGAAUCUUCCGCAAUGGGCGAAAUCCUGACGGAGCAACGCCGCGUGAGUGAAGAAGGUCUUCGGAUCGUAAAGCUCUGUUAUUAGGGAAGAACAAAUGUGUAAGUAACUAUGCACGUCUUGACGGUACCUAAUCAGAAAGCCACGGCUAACUACGUG